UUUUUUUUUUUUUUUUUUUAGUCUUGUGUUUAUUUUCACUCAGUCUGUUUGAGCAUGCAUUGUUUUCAUGUGCAUUCAAUGUCGUAUUAAUUUUCAAAGAAUAGAAGAGAAAAUUAGUUGAAGUUGGUUAAAACUCUACUUCUAGCUAAGAAAGAAUUCGUUUCAGAUAAUCCUUUUACUAUUAGAAUUCAGCUCCAUGUCUAAUUCUAAUCUAUUUGUACUCCUUUUCUUUAUCAACUUCAACAUGGUCAAUUAAUCCUCACUGUAUAAUGCUUCUUUUGCACCCUAGUUUCCUCUCGAUUUCUAGGAGUCUUCUCUCCUCAAUUCAUCCAAGAAAACAUGGGCUACAUACCCUUAGAAAUCAUAGUAAAAUCAGCAGAAGUUUCCAAGAAUGUCAAUCUUUUCUCCAGAAUGCAUCUUUACGCAACUGUAUCCCUUCUAGGAGACGACGAUCCUUCCACCUCAAAGCAGAAGAAAACAAAGGUUGAUGAACACAGCGGGUCGCAUCCCUUUUGGUGGUUUCCAAUGAAGUUUCAAGUUGAUGAAUCAAAGUUGCAGAAAGACAAUCUCAUGCUUUUGUUCCAACUGAAGUGUAGUCGAAAUUUUCGUGGUGACAAAACUGUUGGUGUUCUUACCCUUUCGGUAAAAGAAUUAUAUGACUCUAGUAAAACCCAAAAGUUCCCUACCAAUGUUGCUCAUACCAUCAAUUCUAGGAAUUCUGGAAGACUUCAUGGUGUGUUGUAUUUCUCGUACAUGUUUUGCUGUGACAAUGGCAAUGAAACUACUUAUAUCGAUCAGAGACAGAAGAGUGAUCAGAGUUAUGAUCACCAGAAGAUGGAUCAAAAUUCAAGAAACGAUACUAUUUUGUCAUCUGCCCCGGUGCAAUGGACUGAUCCUACACCUUCAGCACCAUAUAUUGCCAUGGAAGAUGAUGAAUAUUUUUUUGCAACAAGCCCUAUUGAUUCAUUGCCAAAUUCACUAGUGAAUGGCCGUAGUUCUGGAUCCAGUAUUACGCCUUCAGCACCAUAUUUGCCCAGUUGAGAAUGGAUGUUCUUCAAUUUUCUAAGGAAGACAAACUCUACAAAAAAUUAUUGUUAUGUUUAAGAUAUUCUUGACGAAGAAGCCCUUUUCCAUUCCCUUUAAGUUGAUCUAAUUGGGAGAAUGAGUAUAAUAGGUUGAGAAGUUUAUGCCACUUGAAAGUUUGUUGUGUACCUUAAACAGUACAAUUUGUUAGGGUAAGUUCAACAAACCAAUUCUUUUUACUUAUCUUCUUAGAAUUUCUGGUCUUCUUGUAUGAUGCCAAGUAUUGCAAUAGCAACCAUGAGUUUCUUUCUUUCUUUCUUUCUUUUUCAAUUGUAAUUUUUGUGGAAAUUUUUUUUUUAAUAACUUCUUCCAUUAGCACUAAUGCACAAGUCAAUUUUUCUCAACUAUCAAUUGCCUUGUCUUCGUAUACGAUCUACAAAGGACAACACCAAUUGACAAAGGAAUUCUAUGAAAGGAGUUUUUUUUUUUUUUGAAUCAAGUUUGUGUAUUUUUAUGUUCCAUAUGUUUUUUUAACCAGUAUUGUUUGAGCAAAUAUGAAUGAAACCUCAAUGUGCAAGGAUUUCUAGUUAUUUGCUAGUACUAAGAACGAAACAAAUUAGGUUUGAGUCUCCUAGUAGACAUUUUAUAGUUAGUACAAAAAGAAAGAUUAGAGGAGCAGCUUGCUUAUAUAUCAUGUUGUCUUGAAGAAUCUGUUGUCAUCUGCAGAAAAUAUAGAUCACACAAAGUAAUUUGCUCAUCAGUAAUAUUCUUUUUUUUUUUUUCAAUCUUUCCGUCUCUCUCCAGAUUCUUUCCACCUCCAACCGUUAGGCAUAAGUUCGAAUUCUAAACUUGAUAGUCGAAAAGACUCUUAACAACUCUUUCCAGCUCUCUCCUCCUCAUCAUCUUCCAUCACAACCUACAUUGCGUUCGCUUAAUCUUUAUAUUCUUUUUGCUUUCCAAAAAAUGUCUAUAUUCAUUAGAAAAAGCAACAAGAUAAAAAGGGGAAAAAACACAAAAAAAAGGGCUCUGUUUGGAUUAGUUGUUUUUGGGGUUGUUUUUCAAAAACAGCACUGUAGCAUUUUGUUUUUGAAAUACAAGUCCGUUUGGAUUAGUUGUUUUUUGAGUUGUUUUUCAAAAACUAUAUGAAAAACUUUUAUUGUAGAUGUUUUUUGGAUUAUUUUUAGAGGUAUUUUUAAAACAUAUUUUUGGGUAUUUUUAUAAUUUAUAAUUUUUAUAUUUUUAUUUUUAUAUACAUUUAUACAUUUAUAAUACAUUUAUAAAUAUUUAUAAAUAAAUAUACUUAUAUAUUCGCUAAAAAAUAUAUAAAUGUAUUAUAAAUGAAUUAUAAUAUAUAUAUUAGAUAAUAUAAAUACAUUUAUAAAUAUAUAAGUGAUUAUUAUUAUAAAUUAUAAAUUAUAAAUGAAUAUUAUAUAAAUGUAUAAAUUACAAUUUAUAAUUUAUAAUUUUUAUAUUUUUAUAUAAAUAUACAUUUAUGCAUUUAUAAUACAUUUAUAAAUGUUUAUAAUUAAAUAUAUUUAUAUAAAAAUAUAUAAAUGUAUUAUAUUAUAUAUAAUACAUAAUAUAAAUAUAUUUAUAAAUGUAUAAGUGUAUAUUAUUAUAAAUGUAUAAAUUAUAAAUGAAUAUUAUAUAAAUGUAUAAAUUAUCAAUUAUAAUUUAUAUAUUUUUAUAUAAAUAUACAUUUAUACAUUUAUAAUACAUUUAUAAAUAUUUAUAAAUAAAUAUAUUUAUGUAUUUAUAUAAAAAAAUAUAAAAAUAUAUUAUAUUAUAUAUAAUACAUAAUAUAAAUAUAUUUAUAAAUGUAUAAGUCUAUAUUAUAAUAAAUGUAUAAAUUACAAAUGAAUAUUAUAUAAAUGUAAAAAUUAUAAUUUUAUUAAUAUAUAUUAAUAUUAAGUAUAAAUGUAUUAAUAUAAUUAAUAUAAAUGUACAAAUGUAUUAAUAUUAUGUAUAAAUAUAAAAUUAAUAUUAUGUAUAUUAAUAUAAAUGUAUAAAUGUAUUAUAUUAUAUAUAAUACAUAAUAUAAAUUUAUAUUAUAAAUAUACAUUAAUAUAUAUAUAUUAUGUAUAAAUGUACAUUUAUAUAAAUGUAUAAUAUAUAUAUAAUAUAUAAUAUAGGUUAUAUUAUAUAUAAUUUAUAUAAUAUAUAAUAUUCAUAUAAAUAUAUAAAAAUAUUUAUAAUAUGUAUAAAUAAAUAUAUAAAUAUUUAAUAUAUAUAAUAUACAUUAAUAUUAAUUAUAAAUAUGGUGUUUAUAUAAUAUUUCAAUUUGUAAUAUUUAUUGUAUAUUUCAUUAUAUAAAUAUUCAUUUAAUAUAUAAAUAUAUAAUAUAUAAUUUUCAAUUUGUAUAAUAUACAUAAUAUUGUAUAUAUAAUAUAUUAUACAUAAUAUAAUACAUUAUACAUAAUAUACAUUAUUACAUAUUAUGUAUAUUAUAUAUUAUGCAUAACAUUAUUAUACACAAUAAUGUACAUAAUAAUAUUGUACAUUAAUAAUGUAUAUAUUAUAAUAUAAUGUACAUAAUAUAUUAUGUAUAAAUAUUUACACAUUUAUGUAUACAAUAUUACAUAUUAUGUAUAUUAUAUUAUAUUAUGUAUAAUAUACAAUAUUAUGUAUAAUAUUAAUUUAUAUAAAUAUUUAUAUAAUAUAAUAUAUAUAAUAUUUCAAUUUAUAUUAAUAUAAUAUUAUAUCUAUAAUAUACAUAAUUGAAAUAUACAUAUGUAGUUGUUUUUGAUAUAAUGUUUGGAUAUGAUGUUUUUAGAGUUGUUUUGGAAAUACACAUUUACUGUAGCAUUUGGAAUGUGAAAAACAGUUUUUCAAAAACAACCCAAAAAACAGGGGAUCCAAACACACCCGAAGAUAUCGUAAAAUUGCACCCUUAAGCGCAAGCCCAAAGGAAUAGUAACCUACUGUAAAAUAACAUCAACAAUCACUUCAGUGCCAGAGAAAUUGUCCAAGGACAAAAGAGGACAAAGAGGAGUUCGGUCCAACAAGAAAUUCCACAAUUAUAUAAGUCCAAAUUUCUCCGUUUAAAAAAAAAAAAACCACUUGAUAGUUCAUACUAUCAGUCACAGACAAUAAUCAUUACAAUCAGGAGGUAUAGAGAAUAUGCAGAAUAUUACUAUAACUUUAAUAACAGAAACACCCUUAGAAAUGACGGAGAAUAUGUAGAAUAUUUCAACUUAAAUAACAAAAACACCCCUCAAUAGGCUGAUUUUAGAUAAUUAUUAUUUAACUUUUUACAAGAAAUACAUGCUUAAGGAAGGGACAACAAAAAAAAAAAAAAAUCUAACACAAUUUCCUAUCAAACUUUCUUGGGCUACCAAAAGCUACAAAAUUCUUAAGAUUUUCCAAAUGAAUUUUCUUUAUAGGCAUGGUCAAAGCACAAGUGACCCAAUUUAUGACAAAAAAAAAUGUUGUUACCUUGCUCUAAAAUAGGUAAAAAAAAAUAUUGAGUUUUUUCUUUCUUUUGUGAAAAGGAUAGAAAAUAGUUUUAAGGGCAAAUGUGCUUGACUACUUGCUCAAACAGUACCAAGGAGAUUUAUCACUUCAUUUUGAAGUUUGAACUAUCAGAAACCCUUGUGAAAAAAAAAAACUAGCUAACCAAGUCAUUAAAUAGACCAUCAUAUUCUUCAAAAACUCCACUUAUCAAUUAACACUAGAAUUUUGCCCGUAUCUUAGCACAAUUUUGUUUAUUUAUUGUGAAUUUAUACAAAUAUGAAUAAUUUAAAUACAAAAAUUAACAACAAUCCUAUAUGUCCAUUCAUAGUAACUUUAAAAAAUUAACGUAUUCUAAAUGUUCAAUUAUUUACUAAUUUUUAAAAAUUUGUUUACAUACUUUCACUAUAAUAUGAUAGUAUAUAUUAAAUAAUGUAUCCCAUAACAAAAACUUGGUAGAUAUUCUUUUUUCUAUAAAUAUUCGUUUAGAUAAUUUAAAUUUUUAUAAUGACCAUAAACCUCGAACUAUAUAUUCAUAUUUAAUUAAGCAGAAAAGAUCCAGCAAUUCUUUUUUUCCAUCAAUAAAUAUUUAGUUGCCAACAAUGUUGGUAAUUCUGUCAGUAUAAUAAUUAAUUCUCUUGUUUACACUAAGUUAAUUCAAAAUUAAGGGAAGAGAUGAUGAGAAAUAUAAAUACUAAUCAACAAUAUGGUGAUGAAAGGAAGUAAUUUAUGAAAUAUGUAAGAUUUUAAUAACUGUAAUUUGAAAAGUGCUUUACUAUAGUUCUAUGUAAUAAUUUGAUAGAAAGCAGAUAUGAUUAAGAUAAGAUUAGUUAUUUUUUAAAAGUUAUUUUAGAUAUCAUUAAGAUAAGAUUAGUUAUUUUUAAAAUUAGGUAUAAUUUUAAACAUAUAUAAUAUAAUAUUCAAUAUGGGUAAAAUCCAAGUGAGCCACAACCCGUUAAUUCUCUUCAAUUAGGCAUGCCACGUAAGAGUGAGAAACACUGUGAUUAAAAUAGUUACUUUCAUAUAUAUAUAUAUAUAUAUAUAUAUAGAUUUGAGCAAACUUGCUUACUAGACAUUUAAAUCAUAUGGCCUUAACAAUUAACAACCCAGCAUUAAUAUACGAAGUGAAAUAUCAACACUAGACUCCAAAGCAUAUAAUAUGAGUCGUAUAAGACUAACUUCAUCUGCGAAAGAGUGAAAAAAAAAAAAAAAAAUCGGAGAUGGUUAUAAAGUGGAGCAUUUUCCUCUUUAUCUUCAUCACUUAAUAUGCUUAGUUGUCAUCGUAUUUUAUGUUUUUUUCCUUAACAAAAUAUUACACUUAAUCACUUACAAAAUUCUGUUUUAACAAAGCAUUAAAUUCACGUCACUUACAAUUAACAAAAUGUAUCAUAUUUUCUCUUACGAAAUAGAGAAUUUAUUUAGCUUUGAAUCCGUAAUUACGCAAUUUUCCCAUUCCCAAAUUAGACAAGAUUUAGUACUAAAUUAAGUAAUUACUACUAUUACUUGUUUCCAAAUUAAGGAAUUAGUUUAGCACACUCCACUUGUCCAGUUGUCCUAGUUCCACCAUUUUUUUGUUGAUUUUAUUUUCCUUCUUUACUUCGAACUCCUGAGCUGGUCUCUGCUUCCUCCCACGAAGAGAGGAGGGGUCCCAAUUCCCACCCCAAACUCGUUAAGAAACCUCCGAUUCGCCUUUUUCUCAAUCAUUCGAUCAAUGACCUCCGCCGUCUCUUCCUCCUCUCCUUGGCUUCUCCCCACGCCACCUCCUGCUCCCAGCCCCUCCAAUAUGGCCCCACCAAACCCCCCUCCAGCUCCUCCUCCACCGCCAUCCUCCUCCUCCCACGACCGCGGCCACGAGGAGGAGGAGGAGGAUUCCUCCUCAAUUGCCUCAUCCGUCUCGGACUUCUCCGACAUCUACACGGCUUCCACCGCCACCACAAUUCAAACGCCCCAAAACCCUAACCCUACUACACCCAACUCCACCACCACCGCCUCCGCAGCCCAAUCAUUGCCUCCCCCAACUCUGCUCCACCUCUCCUUCAAUCAAGACCACGGCUGCUUUGCCGCCGGCACCACCUCGGGCUUCCGCAUCUACAAUUGCGACCCUUUUCGGGAAAUCUUCCGCCGGGACUUCUCCUCGUCCUCCUCCUCCACUGCCUCUGCUGUGGUAGGAGGUGGAAUUGGGGUUGUUCAGAUGCUCUUCAGGUGUAAUAUUUUAGCACUGGUUGGUGGCGGGCCUGACCCCCAGUACCCAUUGAAUAAAGUAAUGAUCUGGGAUGAUCACCAAGCUCGGUGUAUUGGAGAAUUAUCGUUUCGAUCAGAGGUUAAGUCUGUUCGGCUGAGACGGGAUCGAAUUGUGGUGGUUUUAUUGCAGAAGAUAUUUGUUUACAACUUUGCGGACUUGAAGCUGAUACAUCAGAUUGAGACUGUGAUGAAUCCAAAAGGGCUUUGUGAGGUUUCUCAUGUUUCUGGGUCAAUGGUGCUGGUUUGUCCCGGUUUGCAAAAGGGACAGGUUAGAGUGGAGCAUUACGCCUCAAAGAGGACGAAAUUUAUAGUCGCUCAUGACUCCAGAAUAGCGUGUUUUGCGCUCACUAAUGAUGGGAGGUUGCUUGCUACCUCGAGUAGUAAGGGGACUUUAGUCCGAGUUUUCAAUACUCUAGAUGGAUCACUGCUUCAGGAGGUAUAUUUAUGAACUUGUUUUUUGUCUUGGGGUUUGAAUAGUGCUAACUGGAUUUGCAUGUAGCCAUUUAAAGCUCAAAUGAUUGAGUAACUAAUCCAUUCUUCUCUAGGCAGUUUGUAAAAGUAGUCUUGACAAAAGUUAGUAGCUUGAUACAAGACAGUGGCCUUGCGCAAACACAUCUUAGAUAUGGAAAGAUAUCAUCCCAGGUAGCUUAGUUUGUGGUAUUAGAAUCCAGAAAUUGUUUUUCUUUCUAAGAUUGACUUGAUACUUAAAGAUGCUAAAGGUUUUUCGGCUAAUUGAUCCAGAAGCCUAUAGAGGCAUUUCAGAGCGUUUACCAGCUUGGCUAGAAGUUGAUAACAGGUUUUUGGUGUGUUUGUUUGUCUAUGAGUUGCAGUUUCAUGUGAAAUCGUCUCUAUGCAUGAAUAGUGAAGAGUUCAUUCAGGUAUAGAUACAGUACAGUCUUUUCUGGCCUUAAGUGGGAAUGCCAGGGUAUUCCUGAUUAAUAUUCGUGUAAAACAGAAAGUAAGCAACCUGAUAUCAUCAAUCAUAUCAUUAUGUUACAAUCUGAAGUAACUCAUAUGGUGCAUAUACGUGGCAAAGUUUUUUUUUUUUACAUCCUGUACCUUUAGGAGCUCAGAGACUUCCAAAUAGGAGAUAAUUCAUUCUCAGAUAUGGGGAAUUUUGGGUUGAUACUCUACAGCAGAUUUGGCCUACCACUUUGACUAGGCGAAAACUAGCACAGUGAUCAUAAAUGUCUUAGGGUAUCAAAUAUGUAGACCAAGAUGGAGCUUCAUGGUUACAACUGUUAAGAUUGUUUGAGUGGCUGCCCUAAAGGAAGGAGGGUUUACCUGAUGAAUAAUUGUUGAAUUAUUGACUUUGACCAUUCUUGACAGAGAAUAGCAGAUGUUUCUCAUGCACGCUUGCAUUGUCAUUUACUGUUCCAUCACUUGUUGCUUGGCGGAAUUAACUGCUUGGAUGGUUAAAUAUCGGAGUUUAUAGCAUGAAAUAAAAAUUUAUACCUUUGCACUUGUUCCUCUCAGUUUUAAGUAAAAAUGAUACUAGAUUAUUUGAUAUCUUGUUUGAAAUUUAUAAUCAAGAAUGGUGAAACUUGUGCCUGUAAGAAUGGGGUCAUUUGCAUCCAAUUAGUGGGAAAGUAUUUGAUGGGAGGAUAAUGUAUCAUAGUUAAAAGACAAGCCAAGGAGUGAACUUGGUUUUUGCUGUAUUCGAUAUAAGGGCUUUUCUAAUUACUAUUCAAUUAACAUGGCCAGUUCAUAGACACUCAACCCUUUCCUUAUUGAUUCUUUGUUCUUAAGCUUUAACUUUGUGCGCUUACUCAAAUUCAGGUGAGGAGAGGAGCGGACAGAGCAGAGAUUUACAGCCUUGCUUUUUCUUCGUCUGCCCAGUGGCUAGCUGUGUCAAGUGAUAAAGGAACUGUACAUGUCUUUAGCCUAAAGGUUGAUUCUGGAUCUUUAGGAAGUGAUAGAUCACGUGGAGCAGCGGAACCAAACAAUGCAUCUCCAACUGCAGUUUCACAUCUCUCCUUCAUAAAAGGUAGUAAACUCUUCCUUCUAAAUUUUGUGAAUGAUAGCAUCAGGGAAAGUUGUUGAGAAAAUUAUAAGAAUCAUCAGUAAUUUAGCAGAGUACAUGCCUCUAGUCGAAGAAACCAUUAAGGGUCCGUUUGUUUCGGGUGAAAAUGUUUUUCAGGAAAAUAUUUUCCUAAUUUCCCGUGUUUGGUUGCACAAAAGUUACUGAAAACAUUUUCCUAUGUAAAAUAUUUUCACUCAUCUUAUGGAAAACAACUUCCCUUCCAAACUUACUGAAGUUGUUUUCCGAAAUGCAUGCAUCCGGCCUGUAGUAUGUUCCAAACUUACUGAAAACAUCUUGUAGUAUGUUCUUUUUUUUUUUUAGUGUAAACAGGAGAACUCGAACCCAAGACCUCUUCCUUACAUUCCCUCCCCCGUACCACCCAACCCAACCCAACCCUCCCCCUAAUAUAUUCAAAAUAAAAAAAUAAAACCUCAUCCUGCUCAUCCUAUGCUAGUAAUUAAUUAUGUAUAAUAGAGACAUUUUUUUCUAGAGAAACUUUCAGCAGUGAGAGUGCAAGAUAUAUGUCACAAUAAGCAUUGCAUGUGAUUGAUAUUUGACACUAAAUGGCCAGCAAUUUGUUUAUUGCUUAAGGAGAUAUUUUUUAUUCAUAUAUACAUUUCUCCAAGAUUUUUUAAAGUUAAACAAUGAGAUAAAUUUUCUUAUUUUGCAUGGGAAGAAGUAUGUAGUUAUAAUGUGUAGAAAGUAAAGAUAGAGAUAAAAGUGAAAAUAUUUCAAAAGUUAAACAAACACCAGAAAAAUGAAGUAAGAAAAUAUUUUCAAUAAGCUAACCAAACACCUGAAAAUGAUGAAAGGGAAAUGAUUUUCAUGGAAAAUUACUUCCACGGAAAAUAUUUUCCCAAGGAAAACAUUUUACUUCCAACCAAACAGACCCUAAGUGUAACAAAUUUCCACUCUUUAUUAUGAUUGAAGUCUUUCGGGCCUUUAGGAUACUUUUGAUCUUGAAUCUGGAAGAAGGAUAGGCAAUUUAUAUAGAUCAAAAGAGCUCUCAAAGACAGGCUGAUACCAUUGUAUUACUAUUAGAAGCAUUGGCUGCAUGUCUUUUUGUUUUUGUUGGUACUUCCUAUGAAAGGAAAAUAAAAACACAUCUCUGUCCAAGAUAAGGUCACAUUGCAUUGUUGCUAAUGGACUAACCUUUGCUCAUUUAGUUUCAGUUAUUGAAGGGUGGCAGAAAAAAAUGUUAUCAGAACUUUUAUAAGCAUCUUUAUUGUGCUGAAUUUUCCUAAUGUUUUUUCUUCCGCUAUUAAAUCUUGUCGGAGUAUAUGUUCACUGCCAUAUCCAACUUUAAAUAAUUAAACAACCAGAGUUCUGUCAAGUUUUGACUCUAUUUGAUCAGGCCAAUUGUUCUUAACUGAAGACUAUUUUCCUUGCCAUCUGACAGUGGCAAAUAAGACCCAUGCCUUAAUAAAAUUCUAAUCUGGGCCAUAGUUACCAAGUUCCUGUUCAAUUCCAGGACUUCUAUAGUAAGUGUUGUGAAGCAAAGGCACAAUAGUGUUGCAGACAAAAUAAAGAAGGUUAUGAUUCGUUGACUUACAUCUCUUGGGUCUUAUUUCGCAGGAGUUUUACCAAAGUAUUUCAGUUCUGAGUGGUCAGUGGCUCAAUUUAGGUUGGCGGAAGGCUUACAGCACAUUGUUGCUUUUGGCCACCAGAAGAACACUGUUGUAAUCCUUGGCAUGGAUGGAAGGUAUGAUUAUGCUUUUUCAUUAUAUGAGUUUGUAAAACCAUAUAAAUUAGGUCUGUUUGGUUAAUAGCCUUUUUUGGACGUCGUCAUUAUCUGGUUCUUGUAGCAUUAUUAACCUUUUAAGUUCCUUAGCAUGGUAUGGUCAACCGAGAUAAUCAAAUAAAAGUAUCAUACUAUUGCACCACAUCAAAGGUAAAAGUUACAGGUUCUGCAGCAACUUAGACAGGAUAUCCUGAUAUUUAGGAUCUAUUACGGCUACAACUGCAGACAGAUAGUUGCUUGUUAAAUUAUUUGUGUUGCAAGCAUUUUAAUUGGUAUACAUGGCAGCCUUAUUUUGUUUUAGAGCCAAGUCCAUGUUUCGGUCUUAACUUUCAUAAAUUUGCCUGAUCUUUUGUAUGGUUUAUAAUUGAGAAUACUCUAUGACUUCUCUCUGAUCAUUAAUGUGUUUUCUGAUGCUAUUAAGCAUAUUGUCCUUUACGGAAGUCUUUGAUGCAAUUCAGGUCAUCUUGCCUGAUUGAUUAUAUCUAUGUUUAUCUGUGAAAUCUGUUUUCUGGAAUAGCUAGGUGUUGUGUUUUAUGGUAGAUAAGAUAAAAUUAGCAGUCAAAGGAUAUACACAAGACACGAUAUAGAAUGCUUUUAUUCUUACGAUUGCCUCCUUGUGGCUAUACAGAGGUUUCUCCCUCUCCCUUGGUGUGAAAGACUCUUCAAUUGUAGCAUGCGACGGUCUUGUGAAUUUCACUGAAUAUUUUAGAGAUUGUUUGCUCCCUUUUUGAUCCUGGUUUUCGUUUGAAUCAGCUGGUCUUCAGAACUAACCAUGUGGACAUUCUUGCAAAUGCAGUUUCUAUAGAUGUGAGUUUGAUCCAGUGACAGGUGGAGAAAUGACCCAGCUAGAACAUCACAAUUUCCUCAAGCCAGUAGAAAGUUUCUGAAGUUAAAAACAGAGAGAUUUUCUGGCACCUUUUCUUGUGUGAGCAUGGUUGGUAUUUGUAAAAAUAAUCAUUUGAAAUUUCUUGCCGAGACUGAAUAAGUUGUAAAUAUCUGUAGCUAAAAUUGGUCUGGAUGUAUAUAGCUAGCAGUGUAUAAAUUAUGAUCAUGGGGGUUUAUGCGAUUAAGAAUCAGGCAGAUGUGGCUAGCAGAAUAGUUCCUUGAGUAUAUUAAUGAUCUCAUUUGAGUCCCAAACGUGUAUUUAUGGUCCCUGAACAUUUAUGUUUCAGUGACAAAAUGCUAAUUUGGCUCGAAACCUUCAUUGUUAUUCAAGUCAUCUAGUUAAGGUCAAAAAUGAAAAUGGCCAGAAAGAUGAUUGUUAGAGGGGCAAAUUUUGCACUGAAAAAGUUUUCGAGAAGCUGAGUUGAAAGUCAUGGCUCAGUCCUUGGGAAAAUUUUAUUGAGAAGAUACGGGAAAGUCGUUUAACAGCAAGCGGAACGCAUCAGACAUUUUCCCCUCAAUUUUGAGAUAUUUAUUGGUAAAUUGGUACCCUAAAUUUCGAUUUUAGUGCAUUGCAUCUCAAUCCCAUCUCAUUUUUUUUUAAAGCAAAAUCUAACGUUUCACUGAAUAUCAUGAACGUUUGUACGGAAGUCAGAGGCUUAUAUAUAUGGACUCGGGGCAGGGACGGUUGCACCUGCAACCGUCCCUGGCAAAUUCCCUCUUCAUCAACAGCGCGUAACUUCUUUUGUUCACCGUGUAAUUUUUUUUCCACAGAUUGUAUUUUCACAACACAUAGUGGUGGGUCCCACACUUGACGCGAAAAUCGAGUUACCAUUUGUUAUCUGAGCCGCACAUUUUUUCAUGGUCCAAUCUGGACCAUGAACCGUGCAGGGACGGUCGGGGACACCGCGCGGAUGCGCGGUGGAUGGAUAAUUAUGCCCAAAUAUAUAGUUGCAGUGUUAAAUACAAAAGGAGCUUGUCAAGCGGAAUAUAUAAUUUUGCAAGUGAGAAUGAGAAAUAGUUGUAGACUGCAUAUAAGCUAACUAUGGACAAGAUUAAACAUAAAUAGUUGUUUGAAAAGGUCGCUUGGCACAUUUCUUGUAUAUUUGAGCAUUUCAAAUUAAGGUAGAUGAUCUCAAUCGACGUGAAAGUGAAAUUUAGAAUAAUUCGAUAAAAGAAAAGAAGUGAACAAUAUAAGAGUUCAUAUAAUCUACGUAAAUUAUUCAAGUUGACACUAAAGUUUGAGCAUGCCCAAGAUUUAAUGGCAUCGACAAAUAAUAUAUAUAAAAUGUUGACACUAAAGGUUGGAGUUUUCCAAAUGAAAAGAAAACGUCAACCUGAUUACAGCAUACAAAUGUUAUGCAUUAGAUAAGUUUUAAGUUGCAAUGGACCAAUGAUAUGCCUUAGAAAGCAAGAACGUCUUAUUUAGCAAGCCUCGUAGAGUACAUUGAAAAGAAACAAACAAAUACAUCGAAAAUGCAAUGCUUAUAUCAAUUGGUAAAGAAUAACAAACACAAUCCGAGGAAGAUAUUUACUUAGAUACAUCAAAGUUGUUGUAUUCCUAUUAUGGAGUACAGUUAGAACAUGUUAUACCAUGGGAAUUGACCAUCUACACCAUCCUUAUCAAAGGUGAGGAAAGUGUAGGUGGAACUUCUUUUAUCACGAACAGAGACUAAUGUUUCUCCAGGCUACAAUUGAUGCUCAAUCAGAAAGAUAUCCCAGCUAUCUGCAAACUGCCUCUCACGCAUUGCAAUUGUCAUUGUUUUCCUUCCAGUUCUCGAAGUAAUUGAAGGCGUCAGGUCACUAUGUAUGAAGUAUCCAACAAAUCUUGGAACUUUCUGUUGUUGUUUAGAGAAAAUUAUGAACGUGAUAUAAUAUGAAUGGUAAGAAUGAAAUGAAAAAUACCCCAAACUUACAAAUUUAUAGUUGUUUUGUUUGGUAACUACUUGAUAGAAGCACACACCUUCAGGUAAGUUUUGAACAAAAUUUGGUUCAUCGAUGAUGAUACUUGUGCCGUAUUAAUCUUUGUCUAGAGUUCACUAAAAUCAAAUUAUGUAUACUUGAGGUAAAAAACAUAUGGGGAAAAAAAAUAUACCAAGUUCAAAACAAAAUUGAGGACGAACUUUAAACCUAUUUUGCUUACUGUCUGCAGCUUUCCCUUAUUGUGGACUGAAUCAAGAUUUAAAACAACUUUUCCCUUAGUGUAUAAUAAGCAUAUUCCCUUGUUGUAUACAUGAAUCAAUUUCACUAAUUUUAUCAUUUAAACUGGAACUCUAUAGUCAUGUCUUCUCAAUUCAGAAUUUUUCUGACGCAUCUUCAUCUGAAGAAGGCAUCACAGAUAAAGUUCAUUUCUUUCCAUUCUCUAUGUUUGCCCAUAUAUAUAGUUCCAUCAAAUCUUAGGAAGCAGGAAAAAAAUGAAAUGCAAGACAUGUAAACCACCCUGUAGGAUAAACGUGAAGUAGCAUGCAGGAUAAAAGAGAAUCAGAAAAAAUGUUUCACAUCAACUAUCACAGCUAUAACAUGUCACUGGAGGAAAAAUAAGAAGAAAAAAAAAGGAGGUAAAGAACGAAUACCUGUUUUUUGAAGGAACAGUAGCAGUAGGCAAGAGGAUGCUGAGGAUAAUGUGAAGAGCAAGAAACCAAAGCAGCACAACACAUGUAACAAAGAAGCUAAACAUAGAACUAAACAAUAAAAACGAAAAAAAAUGAUGCAAAGUUAGUGAUCCAAGACAAAAUCUCCAAACUUGCACCUACAACACAUGAAAGCAAACUAAUAAGAAACCUAAAAGGAAAAAAAGAAGACAGAAAAAAGAUGUUAAGAAAAUAGGAGGUCAGCAGUUAAAUAUUUGCAUCUUUUGUUAUUUUUGCCUGAAAAAAUAACACUGUUUUAAAUGUAGAAAUCCCUUUCAAAGAGUAAAAGAGCUUUGACAACUCAGAAUGAAAAAGAUCAAACAGCCAGUAAAUUCUUCUGAUGCCCCAGACCUGUGACAAUGCUUCCUAUUCAGCUGAAGGCAUUUUCUUCAAAGCUAGUUCUGCGGCAUCCUUAAGCUGCAAUUUUUAGUAGGUAAACCAUUAGAAAAUAAAAUGAUGGUUAGCAGUUCCAUAAUAGUACCAUUAAAAUGACAUACACUCAAAUUUGCCUUGACACGAUUCCACAACGGAGGUAUGUCAGUAGAGGGUUUUUUCACAGAAAGCUCUGGAGGCUUUGCAUUCUUGAAAAAGGAAUGUUUCAACAGUUUCUCUGCAGUUGGCCUCUUUUUUAAGGCUUUCACCAAGCACAUUGCAACCAUUUCUCUAAAAGACAGUUCGAAAUUGAGGAAAUGCUUCAGCAAUAAAAACCAUAAGAAUGAGGAAAUGCAGAAGUAGAAACAAACAGAAAGAAUAUGCAAUACAGGAUUGCAGUGGUCUUGUUACAGGACAUAAAAAAAUUACAAAAACCAGAACAAUUGCUUAUGGUCCACAGUUCAAUUCAGCAUCAAGCUUAGUUUAAUUCCAGAAGUGAAGCAAUAAAUAAAAACAAGGGGGGAACAGAUAGUGUAACAUGUUAAUGUCAUCCCUAACCCAUGUAUUUUAAUAGUCAUUCAAGAAGGCAAAAAAAAAAGAGAGAGAGAGAGAAAGAGAAAGAACAAAGAAAAAAAAUAUAUCGCAUCUUACCAUUUUUCUCAAUAAGCAUCACGACCAUAUGCUAACUUAGUUUGUUAUUAUCCCAAAAUAUGUCUACCAACUGUGUAUUCCCACUUAAUCCAGAUGCCUUGUCAGCUGGCAUGAAUGAAAACCCAUCUAGAAGCUUCAUGCACUUCAAUCCCCAUUUAACCAUCAAGAACUCAAUCAGGUGAUGCCCACUGUUUACAGUAAAAAGAGGAAUAAAAAAUUAACAUAAACCUGUGAUACACCCAAGCGCGGUACCAAAUGUCCUUUAGCCAAGAAAAAAUCAGGAAUUGAAAAUCCAUAACCAUCUUCUGUUGUGGUAAGCUGUUAUAAAAACCGAAGAGGGAGAAUUUUGGAGCAAAAAUGCCACAGUAGGAAAAAGAUAAUCAAAUGCUUCAAAGUGCAUGCGUGGUAAAAACAUCUUUCCAGUUAAGUGAUAUGUGAAACAAAACCAAAAAAGUCACCAUAUUGGGAAGAGAAAAACAGGGACAAACCUACUACUUGUUUCAUAUAGGACAUCAGCUCCAAGGAUAAUAUUUGGGCACACGGUGAAUAUCUGUUCAUCCCAAACACGCCAUGUAAGUCCCAGCACCUUGCAAUACAUAUAAAUAUGACCAAUUAUAAGUUUAUUGGGCUCUAGUCAAACGUGGCUUCAGAAACUAAGUAUGCAAUGCAUCAUUUAUCUGUGAAGAACUGAAGAUGCAUCAUAUAAGCUAGCGAGUUAAAAUCUACUACUAUCAAAUAAAAAAUCAUUCCAUACUUUGCAUGUCACAUUAUUCAGCCCACAUUCUCUCCUCAUAUUAGCCAGCACCUGCACAUGUCAAGAACAAAACUGAAGCAAGUAGAGAUGUAACAAAACUACAAGACACAGAAAUUACUCUAAACUAUAAGCCAAACUCCUAAAAAAUAAAUGUCUAAAACAGCAUUAAAAAAAAGACAACGAAGCAAAAGCGCUUAGAUAAUAAUAGUCCAAAACACAUAAAUCUGUAGCAAGAAACUCGCCGAGGCAAUUUUCCUGAAAACUCAUCCAAGCUGUUUUUUGUCCCGAAAAACUGCAAAAAUCUCUUCUAAACUUGAAAAUCAAGAAGGCUACCGAUAAAUAAAAAUAGUUCAAGCAAAAAAACAACAAUAGGCUAUUGAUUUAAAAAAUCAUUGAUAAAAACUCUUAAACAUAACCUCAAACCUGAAAAAGAUGGCUCCUUUAUCAUUGAUCCCUCGCUCUAUUGGGAAAAAACAAAAAAAACCCACAACACGGUUUCUUUAGAAAGCAAAAAAAUGUACAAAAGAACUCGGGCAUAAGAAAGUGGAGGAAUUAGAAGAAUCAACACUUUUUCCUCUUUCCUUUAUUUUAUUUUAAUCAAAACAUUUUUUUCUGCUCAACUGAUUUUUUCACCAUCUAUUCUCCCGUAACAAAAGGGAGAUGGAAGAAGAGAAGAGAAUAGGAAAGUUGAAUUUGAUGGGGAUCUCUUCACAUAUCUCAUAUUGACCACAACUUCGGGAAUGCACAAUGGGUAAUGUAUGACAGAGAAAGGCUAAAGAAUGGAUAGGACUGAGUGGUCAUCUCAAGUCCAUCGCUUCUAGCAAAAGGCAUAGAUGAUUGAUUGAUUAAAAAAGGAAAUGGAGAAACAAAGGGGAGAGGAUGGCUGGAGUGGUUGGGGUUGGUGGAGCUUUCCAGUGAAGAGUCUGAAGACCAAGGCACGAAAGAAAGAAUGAAAGAAAGAGAAAAAAAGGUCAUGUGGAGCAAAAGGGGACUUGGUUGGAGCCGGUAGAGAAGAGUCUGAUGAGUGGGACCUCAACCAAUCGCCUGCAGAAAACCACAGUAGAGCUAAACAGUGGCAAGGAAAGAGACAGAAGCAAGCCUGGGACGGAAGGAAGGAUGAAGUGCAACGACCACACAAACAAAAAUUCACUUGCAACGAAGGCAAAAUCGUCGCCAAUCCCCUAAUGCCACGUCACCAUCGAGCCAAUCUCCUCUCACCACGCGGAGGACGACCACGUCCGACGUGGAUCCCGUGGCUUCGCCCUUAGUCUAUAUGGUUAAUAAUAAUGAAGGUUUUCAUCGGGUAGCGGCUCCAUUUUAUCCUUUGGGUGAACCAUGGUAGUAUUAUUUUAAGGGUUAAUUAUAAUUUGCCUCCUUGAAUUUGGGUCCUUGUAACACUUUGCCCUCGCCUAAACUCCAAAUAUAUACACUUUAUACUUUGUGAUUAACUUUUUGAUCGGGUUGAAAUAAAGUUAUAUUUUUCAUUACCAAAAUGUCUCUAACUAGUUCUUAAACAAGCGUAAUAAUUGUAACAUAAUAAAUACCUAUUUCUUUAAUAGUUGUUAAAUGUGUCUAAACACAAUUACACUAUGUAUUUCGAUCUUUUAGCGCUAAAACGAAUUAGAUAAUUCACAAAAAAACAAAAUUCUAAGCAACUUAACGAAAUUAUCUCAAUGCAUAUAGCAAUACUUAUUUUAAAGAAAAUAAAAUUAAUUAGCGCAUUUGGACUGAAAAAAUAGUGCUUAUAUUUUUUUUUUAUUAUAGACCUUUUUAAUGUGUUUCAUAUGAUAUAAAAAAUGAUUACAAAUAAAAAUGUAUUAAAAAAUAUAUAGAGAAUUUUUAUUUUUUAAAAAUGUUGAAUUCAAACAAAAUACAAAGCAAGGUAUGAAUGUGGCAUAAAAUUAUCAAAUAGCAUUUUAUUGACUUGUGAAAACUGCAAGAUAAAUGAAAAUUAUCAAAACUAAUCUAUUUACAAUUUGAAAGAAGAAAGAUAAGCGAUGGAAAACUUAUGCAAAAGCUUUAGGAAUCUUUAAAUUCUUUUUUUAGGAAGAAUUUAAAGAAUUUAAGAUUUUAAGUUUUAGGAAGAAUUUAAACUUAUGCAGAAGUUUUAGGAAUCUUUGAAUGCUUUUUUUCUCCACAAUAUAAUUUUUCAACUCUUUGGUAUUAUACCAUCUUUUAUUUUUAUUUUUUUUUUAAAUCAUGUGACUUUGUGUUUUUUCUAAUAAGAUGUUUCAUAUUCGGAUUAAAAGAAUAGCAUUAUUUUAGAACUAUUAUGUAAGGGCAUUAACGCCAUUUUGUUAAAAUUUAGGAUGAAUAAUUCAUCAUUAAUGUUUGAUUAGUCAAUAAAGUGUUAUAAAAUAGCAUAUUAUCAAGAAAUUAGUAGAUUACACCUAUAAAAUGGAAAAUGGAAGCUCAAAAAAAAUAAAUGAAAAGUCCCAAAAUGUUGUGAAACUAAUAACAUAAUAUACUAAAUGUAGGGAAUGAAAGAGUAAUAUUUCAAAGGUUACAAAUGAGAUUUAUAUACCCUCUAUUUAUAAAUAAGUGAUACAAGGUGAAAGGUACAUAUACCAAAACUAAUAAAAUACAUGAAUCUAGUACUUCAAAUAUAUGAAUUGAAUGGUUUCAUAUAUGAACUAAUAAACUACGAGAACAUACAUAAGUAUAUCAAUUACCCUUAUUUGUAGGUAGGGGAAUAAAUAUUCUGAUGCAUCUCCUUUAAGAAAUGAAUGUAACAUUUCAUUAAUUUUAUAACACAAAACUUCAAUUACCUCACUGCAUGAGAGUUGAGAAAUCUUUUUAAAUCAUUUUGAAGUUACAACUUUCUGUUUUUGGUCAAUCUUGAGAGUGAAAUCUUUUGUAAAUAUUCAAAAGUUUCUUGCGUCCCAUUUUCCACAGAAAGCGACUCACCACUCACCACGUGCCAACCCAGUCAAGACUGUAGAAAAUGUUUGGAAAAAAAAAAUGUCAGCAAUCAAUUUCCACACUAAAAAUUGGCCUUGUUCGGAACUUUGAAUUGCAUUUUUGCAGAAAAAUUUUUCUUACAUCUUUCGACCACAUUUUUAUGUGAGUAAAUCUUAUAUAAACUGAUUGUAUAUACGUAAUUAUCACCGUUAAAUUUAUAAUAUAUGUAUAAAAGUUGAAUUUCAAAUUCAAAUUUUAUAUAGAUGUCAUUCAUUCAAUGCUACUGUCAGUGUGUAGAAAAAGUUAAUCCUUUUUAUAUCACCUAUAAUCGCAUCUUACAAAAAGUGUUAAGUCAAUUUUUUUUUUCAAAAUAUUGCAAUCGAAAGGGACUUUUUCCAAGCUUGGUAAUUAAAUAUAAUUUAGUAUGUAGUAUAUGUACAUAUCACAUUUAUUUAUUAUAUCUAUCUUUACAUUUAAAUACUUUCACAAAUUUUAAAUUUAACUUCUAUUGAAUUGAAAAAAUAAAUACCAGAGCCAGAAGGCACUUCGCACUUUGAUCGCCCAAUCCUUUAUUAAAUUGUAGUAAACUAAUAUCAGCAUCCAAAUUAUUCAAAAACCCUAGUCCUCGCAUCACCUCCUCCUUCUCCUUUUCAAAUCAUAGCCACAAACACAAUCUCCCAGCGCUCUCCUUUCGGCGCCGCCGUCGCCGUCAUUUGCCCGCGUGUUAUUCUCGCCGGAAUCAGACGAAAUGCCCUCUCCCAUCACCCCGGCCCAAACCUCCGCCGCCAAUUUCCAUCUCUUCACCACCUCCAAUACCAUCAUCACUACAUUCACCGGCAUUCUCAUUACAACGUCGAUUAUUACGAUCAUCCCAUAUUUCUGAAGAUAAAAUUACCCCUUUAUUCCUUCAAAAAAUAUAUAAUAAUUCCAGAAAGUCCUCCGGUUUUUUGCUUAUUUUAUUAGUCAAUUUGUGGGAUUUCUCUACCUUGUUGAGAUGUCAACUGUUUACCAACAAUUGCCAGCCUUAAAGAGCCUGAGGGACUCAUCUCCAGUCGGUUUGCCUCGUCCCAUUGUCUAUAAAAGGUUUAAUAAUCUAAUCAGAGUCCUUGUCUUAUUUAUUUGUCUUUUUUAAUUUCCACUCAUUAUAAAAAUUUCAACAAAGCUACAAUCUUUUUUUAUAAUGUACUCGUUUUAUCAGUGGCCUAAUACAUGUUUUAUUUCAUUUCUUUUGCGUAUGGAACUUUAUUUAUCAUCUCAUUAAAGUGAGUGUCUGCAGAAUUAUAUAGGAUACGUGUGUUUUGAGAAAAGCAGAAAAUGUUACCUACUGAUAGCGUGACAUAAUCACUUAAAACAACUUUUGCUGAUUUGUUUCGUGACCUUGUGGUCUCUUUAUAUAUCAAGACUUAUAAAAUAUGGUCCUGAAAGAUGUCCGAUGACUAAACUUGUGAUAAGAUGUGUUGUGAUUUGCGUUAGUAUGUAAAAGGAGUGGCUUACAGGUUUCACUUUGAUUCUGCACAAGUGAUUGUCAAAAAAAUGGAAUGAAUAUUUGAUUGCAGAACAUGGCUUCACGCAUUUGAUGGUCACAAUUUUAUCCUAUGUGCAAUGAUGCUUGUUUGUGGGUAUACCUUCCAGCCUGUUUUUUGGGGGUUUCUGUCGUCAGUUGUAGGAAACAUUGGAAAUGAUAGAGGGUAGAAAUUACUUCUAUGGAACUGAUUACCAAGACAUGGGAAAUCAUUGUUCCCUUUCCCAUAGCUAACGUAGGUAAUGGUGAAUGAAUAUGAUCCUGCUUGUAUGACAAACAUAUUAGGGCAACUGGGCAAGUAGGUUAACCAUAGUUUAGUUCUGUAUGUGUUUGCCAUUCUUUGUGUGUUCUUGGGAGUUAUUAACCUGUUUCAAUGAAGAUGAAGUUGUGGAGAAUAGCUAUGACUUUUUCCUACUGCUUAGCAUGAUAAGUAAUUGGAGAAGUCCAUCUUCUUGUAGCCAGGAUUUUUAUUCUACCUAAUACCUACUACUGUUUCUGUCAAGCAGGAGGAAUGCAAGGUGGAGGUCUCCUGAAGCAGCUGUUAUUUCUAGUUUUCAUCUCCCAAUGCGCAGUUUUGAAGUUAAGAAUAGGUUUGAAUUAUGACUUAAUCUUUAUUCUCUUUAUUUUCAUCAAGUGUCUUGAAUUUAGGAUUUGGGUAACAGUUGAAUCGGUACUGAGCAUUUUACAUUCUGGAACGAGUUUUUUUUCCAAAGAUAUUUAUGUCUUGCAUCUCUUUCUUCUGAACUAUCAAUUUAUCGUGAUAGAAGGGGAGAUGAAGGUGGUAUUACAGGGAUGAUUGAUUAGAAAUAAACUUAAGACUGGUCCAGGGUAUUUUGAUAUAUUAUAUGGCGUAAGUUUAGAUUGAAAUAGCAUAUUUGCUUGAAUGAAAGAAUUUUAUUUGGAAUCACUCCCACUCCCUAAUCUGGUGAUUUCAAAAAUGUUCUUUCUCAGAGAUGCUUAUGAUUCAAAAGGGCAGUAGUAGAAAAGUUUGUUGCUAGUUUUUAAAAAUUUUCUAUGCGCAGAUUGUCAGAAAGCAUUAUUACAUUAUCAGUGUAGUAAUAAAAAUAUGAAAGCUUGCAUGCAAACGUUUUAGUCAGGCUUCUUAGCUGCUAAUGGCGUUGAUGCUGGUAACCAACAAAGUAUAAGGAAUUAAUGUUUGCGCGACACAUGCAUUGGUUUCAUCUACUUAUAUUAAUCCAGGUUUUAUGCAUGCAUGUGUAUGUGCUUUAUACAUGGAGCAUAAGGUACCAAAUCAGAGUUGUCUGUGAUUGCUGUAGUAUGUAGGAAGUUAGCAAAAAGAUUAUGUCAAAUUAUAGAGAAUGCUUGUAGCUAGUCUACAUAUCUGGGAUUGCUUGCUGACUUUAUUGAAGUAGAAAAGCUCGGUAUAGACUGAGAAACUAAUGAAGUUGUCCUUUUGGAGAGAGGGAGGGAGGGAGGGAGGGAGAGAGAGAGAGAGAGAAGGGUGGGGGUUCCAGCGCUGCUAAUGAUGUAACACUUUGUAUUGUUGCCAGGACUUUUGCUGAGGAUAUUAAGUCUCUGAGACUGAUUACAGCCAUUAAAACACCAUAUCUACCAGAUGGCAGGUUUGACCUCGAGGCUUAUGACUCCUUAGUGAACAUGCAAAUUGAAAAUGGAGUUGAGGGUGUGAUUGUUGGUGGGACUACUGGGGAAGGUCAAUUAAUGAGCUGGGAUGAACAUAUUAUGCUUAUUGGUCACACAGUUAACUGCUUUGGUGGGUCAAUCAAAGUCAUAGGAAACACUGGGAGCAACUCUACAAGGGAAGCCAUCCAUGCCACAGAACAAGGUUUUGCUGUUGGCAUGCAUGCAGCUCUUCACAUUAAUCCUUACUAUGGUAAAACUUCCAUAGAGGGCAUGAUAUCUCACUUUGAUAGUGUGCUUCCUAUGGGCCCUACAAUCAUAUACAAUGUGCCAUCCCGUACUGGCCAGGAUAUUCCACCAUCAGUGAUUUUUGCUGCUGCAGAGAGCCCUAACCUGGCAGGUGUCAAAGAAUGUGUUGGAAAUGAUAGGGUUGAACACUAUACAAGUAAGGGGAUUGUCGUCUGGAGUGGCAAUGACGAUCAGUGCCAUGACUCUAGGUGGGAUCAUGAUGCCACUGGUGUGGUUUCUGUUGCCAGCAACCUGGUUCCUGGUCUAAUGAGAGAACUCAUGUUUGCUGGGAAGAACCCGGCUCUAAAUUCAAAGCUUAUGCCUCUCAUUGAAUGGCUUUUUAAGGAACCAAACCCCAUUGGUUUGAACACUGCUCUUGCUCAGCUUGGUGUUGUGAGACCAGUUUUUCGCCUGCCAUAUCUCCCUCUUCCUUUGUCAGAAAGGCUGGAGUUCGUGAAUAUGGUGAAAGAGAUUGGACGGCAACAUUUUGUGGGGGAGAGAGAUGUUCAGGCUUUAGAUGAUGACGACUUCAUUUUGGUGGGGCGAUAUUAGCUGGUAGUAUCAAGAUUUGGAUUUUGGUUUUGCUCUUCGUCUGUGCCUGUACGUUGUUCCUCUAUGUAUUUCCUGCUAGAUUUUAAUGGCAAGUUUGGAAUUUUCUUUCCUUUUUUUGGGUUUUGGUGUAAAUUAAUUGCCAGCAUUGCACUCGGAAAAGUAUCCAAAAGUUGAAGGCAGAACCAUGUACAAGAGAACCAUUUCCUUCAAUAACCACCAAAUUAACUUGCCAUUUUUGUAAUUCACUAUUUUUUUUUCUUGUGAUACAAUCAUACAAACUAAUGAAAAGGGAACGGAAGAAAAAGUUAAAAAACUUGAGUAAACAAAAGUAGUUUCCAUUAUAUCCAACACUAAGCAACAUUACAAAGUAUAAACCUUUAAUUCUCGCUGUUAGAGACUUGAGAGAUAUCAACCAAUUCUUGAAAUUUUAAUCAUAUUCCAAAAAUGACUAGAUUUGGAUUUUUAAAGGACGAAAAACUAUAGGAAAUAAAAGAACAAGAGAAACUAUCUGCUCAUGAGAGACAGAAAUAUGCAGCAUAGUG
This 23171-nucleotide long non-coding RNA is filed under the name Coffea arabica (coffee). RNAcentral describes it as "long non-coding RNA (CARA_LNC001376)". The record is from RNAcentral. Lineage: Eukaryota; Viridiplantae; Streptophyta; Magnoliopsida; Gentianales; Rubiaceae.